UGCCAGUGAUAAACUGGAGGAAGGUGGGGAUGACGUCAAGUCAUCAUGGCCCUUACGAGUAGGGCUACACACGUGCUACAAUGGCGCAUACAAAGAGAAGCGACCUCGCGAGAGCAAGCGGACCUCAUAAAGUGCGUCGUAGUCCGGAUUGGAGUCUGCAACUCGACUCCAUGAAGUCGGAAUCGCUAGUAAUCGUAGAUCAGAAUGCUACGGUGAAUACGUUCCCGGGCCUUGUACACACCGCCCGUCACACCAUGGGAGUGGGUUGCAAAAGAAGUAGGUAGCUUAACCUUCGGGAGGGCGCUUACCACUUUGUGAUUCAUGACUGGGGUGAAGUCGUAACAAGGUAACCGUAGGGGAACCUGCGGUUGGAUCAC
This 377-nucleotide ribosomal RNA is filed under the name Enterobacter roggenkampii. RNAcentral's name for it is "bacterial SSU rRNA". It matches the Rfam family "Bacterial small subunit ribosomal RNA", at positions 1150 to 1526 of the family's 1533-position model. Lineage: Bacteria; Pseudomonadati; Pseudomonadota; Gammaproteobacteria; Enterobacterales; Enterobacteriaceae. The record is from RNAcentral.